UAAAGUGAGUAAAAUCUAUUUUUGGGAAGGUACCAGGUAAGAAAAUUCCCCUAGGAACGAAGAUAAAAUAAGGCAAAUAAUAGUGGAACCAAAAUUCUCCCAAAUGUGCAUUCCAGUGAGCUUUAGCAUCAAGGGCGUGCCAUGAUCCCUAUCCUUCGCGAUAAAGUCAUGGAACAAAGAGGGGUUAAAUCGGGCUAUUUAAUUUAAAUUAUUGGAUUUGACCUGAUUUUUCCCUUUUAAAACCCGAUCCCCAUCUUAAAACCUCUAAAAUCCCCAAUUUUCUCUCAUUUAACAAAACCUAGUGUACCACUCCCAUACAAGUUCUCUCAAAUUUAAGUGUACCAUGCCAAGAACAUAUCUCAUGUCUUUUCUGUCAACUUCUUCAUUCACAAGCAAGUAACAUCGCCAUCCAUUGAUAGUGCUACAACGCCUAAUGCUACAACAACUGCUUCUCAAAAUUUGCAAUUUAAAGAGGAAUUAGAAUAUGAUCAUGUGGGGAGGCUACGAAUCAUCCCUUAUCAUGAUGGGUUCAUUCCAGCAUAUACCAUCAGGCAUAUGGUUAUAGAAGCAAUUAAACCAUUUUUCACAAAAUUGUGGAAUAGUUGGUUAGAGAUUCCAUGGAAAAUUACAAUUGUCAUAUGAAAACAAUUUAUGACAAAGUGUUCAUGGAGUGAUUGUCAUGAUAAUGAAAUAGACGGUAUUUUUUGGUUGAAAACAGCUCUACGGGUUAAAGAACACUUGUAUGAGGCCUGGAGGAAAUUGAUCAAACCUGGUUAGUUGAAUGAUAAAGUGUGGACUCAGUUCUUGAUAUUAUGGCACACUCCUAAAUUUAAGGGAAAGAAGGAACGAGGAAAGGAAAAUUGAGCCUCUGAAAUGGGUGGCUCGCUGCACACUGGAGUCUCAAUGAGUUUUGCUACCCACCAACAAAGACUGAAUUUCUUAAAUGGGGGAGUAGAUGUACCUAUUCCUAAGACCUUCAAAGAGACACAUAAGAAGAAAAAUUCGGACGGUACAAGAGAAGAAUGGGUUGAACCGCGUACUAAGGAAGCACAUGAUUUCAAAAAAGCAUUGAAGAUUGGUGUCAAACCCAAACUGCUUCAGAGGAUGGUACCAUGGUCCAACCAUCACCUACUGAUAUGAAUAGAAUUUGGAUAAAUGUGGUAAGUGGUCCAAAAAAGGGAAAAACCUACGGGUUUGGAGGUAACCAAUCCUUGAGUAGUUCUUCCCCAAUGUUGGCAACUUCGCUUCUAUUUCGCGAAAUGUGGAAGAAAUGGAAGCGAUGAGAACAAAAAUUAAAGCGUUGACGCAACACUGUGCCAAAUUUGCCAUGUUUGAAGCGUUAGUCAAGAAGCAUAUUCCGCAAGUAUUUGAGGAUGGGGAAGAUAGUGAAUCAGAUGAUUAGAAUGUAGCGGUUGGUUUUUGUUUAGGAUUGUGACAUUUAGACUUAAACUAUUAGAAUUGGUGUUUGUUUUAGAUUGUGACAUAUAGACUUGUCUUGAAAUGUUUAAACUAUUUGAUUCCCCUAUUUGUUUUGGAUA
Molecule: long non-coding RNA, 1538 nt
Organism: Capsicum annuum
Lineage: Eukaryota; Viridiplantae; Streptophyta; Magnoliopsida; Solanales; Solanaceae
Exons: 6
Source: RefSeq, a predicted model, not a curated record